AGAUAGGUAUGUUCCUAAUUUACUAAAGUCACUAAGAUCUCAGAAAAUAGUUUAUAUUUGUUGUGGAGAAGAUCAUACUGCUGCUCUAACCAAGGAAGGUGGAGUGUUUACUUUUGGAGCUGGAGGGUAUGGUCAGUUGGGCCAUAAUUCUACCAGUCAUGAAAUAAACCCAAGGAAAGUUUUUGAACUUAUGGGAAGCAUUGUCACUCAGAUUGCUUGUGGACGGCAGCACACUUCUGCUUUUGUUCCUUCAUCAGGACGAAUUUACUCUUUUGGGCUUGGUGGUAAUGGGCAGCUGGGAACCGGUUCAACAAGCAACAGGAAAAGUCCCUUUACUGUAAAAGGAAAUUGGUACCCUUAUAAUGGGCAGUGUCUACCAGAUAUUGAUUAUGAAGAAUAUUUCUGUGUAAAAAGAAUUUUCUCAGGGGGAGAUCAAAGCUUUUCACAUUACUCUAGUCCCCAGAACUGUGGGCCACCAGAUGACUUCAGAUGUCCUGAUC
This 500-nucleotide long non-coding RNA is filed under the name Pan troglodytes (chimpanzee). Its description in RNAcentral is "long non-coding RNA NONPTRT002205". The record is from RNAcentral. Lineage: Eukaryota; Metazoa; Chordata; Mammalia; Primates; Hominidae.